RNAcentral lists this long non-coding RNA (22969 nucleotides) under Populus tremula. RNAcentral describes it as "long non-coding RNA (PTRE_LNC000258)". Lineage: Eukaryota; Viridiplantae; Streptophyta; Magnoliopsida; Malpighiales; Salicaceae. The record is from RNAcentral.
GUAUAAUUUGAUCAUUCAUGUUCUUUUACAGCACUCCUAGCUAAACUGUUUUACAGGUCUGCUACAAGGAAGAAAACUACAAUUUAGGACAUGACAGAGGCACCCGAAUUGUAUGUAACCAUGGAAAUCUGUCACCGAUCGACUUCCAGGCUCCCCUAGAUCGUAGACAUCAGUUAGCUUUCCAGCAUGGGAGCUUUAGAAACCUCAUCGGCAUUUCUUUUCUCAUCCUUGCAAUUGCGGUCGUCUAGAUAGUGGUGAUAGGCGUAGGAAAUGAAACCCCAGAUUGCCAACACCAUUGAAAUUACCUUCACACCACCCAUUUUGUCAUUGAAUACGAACACAGCUAGGACUGGAACAAUAGGCAAUCCCAAAACACCUAUGGCAUUGGAGAACAAGGAAGAAACAUCAAAAAUCAAUCCAACGCAGCCAAACGCGCAAACCUGCCAAGAUAUGGCAGUCCCAACUAAGUUCAUCACGUAAGAAACCUUUCCCAUUUUAUACCCAUCCAUUUCUCUUGUUAGACCCUUCCAGUCUCCACUAGCAAAAAGUCCAACUACAAUAACAGAAGUCGCUACUACUUGUUGAUAGAUUAUCAUGUCCAGGACUACCUUAAAUGUCUGCCUCCUUAUAACCUUGUUGAAGCAGAACUGUGUCAAAGGGAGCACCAGUCCAAACCCCGCGGCAGCAGCAACAGUGCAUGUGAAACCAAUAGCAUAUUUUGCUUUGGAGACUCCAGAAGUGCCGUCUGAAGACUCAUUAUUAAAGACAAGUAGGAUAGAGGAGAUGGUGAGGAGGACUAGAGAAUUGAUUAUAAAUGGUGUGAACUUCUGUGCAUUGAGCAAAAAGGAGAAGACAGAAUUGAAGGCCAACUGAGAUGCACAGAUGAGGGUGUAAGUAGACACAGGAAGGUACUGCAGUCCAAUAGUGUAUAGAUAGCAGCCUGCUGCUACAAGCAGUCCAAUCGAUACGUAAAUCAAUGCAAGUGUUGUGACAGAUGGUGAUUUUAUUUGGCUAUCAUUUGUGCUUGGUUUACUGGUAGUUGAGAUGAGAUAGAAGGGAAUAAGAACCGGAAAGCCUGCAAGUUGCACUAGUGUUGCCAUCCAUUUGCUGUUUCCACCUUUAACAAAGUACAAUCUUCCCAAAAGCGUAGCCGCUGCCUGUCCAGCUAGGAGAAAGACUGUAUAGAUUGACAUGCGGAUCCACCGCCUGUAGUUUCUUGUUUGUAGAGCCGGUGAGCACUGAUCGGUGAUACUUGUAUAUUGAGGUAAGUUUGUUUGAUCUUUAGUUUCUUGGUCUGAUAAUAAGAACAGAUAUCGGACAAGUCAGCUACUGUACAAGAAUACAUGAUUGUAUUUGAAAAUAAUAUAUUUGAGCGUGUCGAUAUCUCCCAAGUUGGGAGCUUAAAAAACUAAAACCUUGUUGCAAGGACAAAAACAUGAUUCAUAGGAACUUAUUAAAUAGAUCUCCAAGACAAAGACCCUGAAAAGCCUCCUCCAUGGAAAGAGAAUUUACAACGACUACCUAGGAGACGAGCUUUCGCCGGCAGAAUUUCACCUGGAGAUUUGCAGGGAAAACCAGUAUAGCUGCCUAGCUGUAUAACAAAAAAUGUAAAAGAAUCCUACUCUCCUUUUGCUUUGCUGUAUCUCUUCGAAGAAAUUUGAAGUGUAUUUCUUUCAUCAUAAAUAACCAAUGAUUCCAUUGUGACUAUGUACUCUUAAUAGUACUACUGUUAAAUGUAGGCUUAUUGCAAACCUCAUGACCUUUCCACCUUAUUAAUUCCCAUACAUACACUUGUGAAAGAAGUUAAAACAGAGGAACAUUGAUGAAAUUGCGAUAUAUAUAUAUAUUCUCUUUGAUAAAAAGUGCUACACAUCAAGAAUUAGAGAGAGCUGACUCACCCAUGAUGUGAAGUUGAACUUCCUGAGCUUCUCCCAUGUCAAAGGUAGUGCAGAAACCCAGAAAAGAUAAAGCUUAGAAGAGAGAGAGAGAGAGAGAGAGAGAGAGAUUUCAAAUGAAAUGAAAUGAAGAUGCAGCAUGCAAAUGUAUUUAUGCCAUUUAAAUUAAUCUUUGGUUGCUUUUGUUUUGAUCGUAACAGUAUAUGGUAAAUAAAUCUGUCAUUCCAUGUUUUUCUUGGAAUUAGUGACUUACAGGGACGAAAGUAGAUGCAAGGGGCUUCUGCCUGUUUUUUUUUUUUUUUCAUUAGGCAUCCUAGUCAAGGAUUGGCAUGGCAGGCCCCAUGAUCGUAUAAUAUAUGCUUCUUUCAUGGAUUGAUUGAUAAUCUCCGAAUGGUGGAUGCAUGAUCUGUAAUCAGUCUGGAUGCUUGACGGCCUUUCGUUUGCUUUCAUUCAUCUCAGAACAGAGUGGCCUUUUCCCCAUAAUAUAGAAAAAAGAUUAGGUUAAUAUUGCAUUUUGCAGAACUGCUUUUUUUUCUUUUUUCUUUUUUAACAGAGACUAAAAAAAUAUUUGCAUCGCAUAUAUGUAUAUAUACAUUUUUUUUUCUAGAAAAAAAAAUUAGGGAAAGAUAUUAAAUGAUUCAUAGAUAGCUGGAUAAGGAGAUUUAUUUUAUUUUAACGUUUCUUGGAAAUUCUAUUAUAAUUUUUUAUUAAAAAAUAAAAUUUUACCAAACGUGAUAACUAAAUAAAAUAAAAUAUUAAAAUUUCUAAUAAAGAACUUGUCAAAUUUAAAAAAUUAACUAAAUCUUAAAAUAAAUACUACAAUUAAAAUAAAUAAAUUAAAAAUAAUAAAAUUUGUCUUCUACAUUACUAAAUAAUUUGAUUAUGUGAGACACUCACAAACAAGCACGGGUUUGUUAACCUCCUCAAAAAAUUAUAAAAUUGAGGGAUAAUUCUUGUCACAUCAUAAAGCAGGCACAAUAUAUAUAUAAAUUUUUAUCGAAGUAUUAUGUGAUAUAGUUAUAAUAUUAUUGAGGGAUAAUUUUUGUCUCAUUAAAAGUGAGCACAAUGAUAUGGCAUUUUGUGUGAUUACUGAACCUGCUAGCUGUCCUCGUGGGGUCGAUAGAGCUUUACACCAUGAUUAAAAAAUCAAGAUAACUAUCUAGACGGUGGUGGCCAGUGGUAAAAGCUUGGGACUAAAAUAUUUGAUUUCUUUGUGGUUUCAGGUUUGAGCCCUGGGUUGCUUAUAUGAUGACUACUGGAGACUUACAUGGUCAUUAACUUCAAGACCCAUAGAAUUAGUCAAGGUGCGCGCAAGCGGGCCGGACACUCACGUUAAACUAAAAAAAAACCCAUGUAGAGUGAUUUAAUUGGUUCCUAGACUUCAUAAUAAUUUCAAUUUUUUUAUCGGUGUUUCAUGUCACAGUCUUCAUUCUUUAAUUUUUUUCAAAAAAUAAAACAAUUGCAUUUCUAUGUGAUUUUUCUCAUGUUUUUUGAUUUUUUAACAAUUUCAAUAUUUUUUCUUAAUUUUUAAUAUUAAAUAUUAGUAUUAGGUGUUACUCAUUUUCUUCAUUUUUCCUCUUAAAACUUGCCGAGGAUGCCCCCAGAAGCGGAUGCCAAAUGCAAUUUAAUUAUUUUUCAAAUCCAUUUUUCUCACAGCAAGGUCUUCUCUGCAUCUCCGCGGAUUUAUUGCUUCAACAAAUUCACACUUUUCAAGAGUUGUUCUGAUGCGCCCUCUUAACACCCAAAAUGCAUGAAAUAAAUCAACCACGACGACAAACAUAUUUCUUGUCCCAAAUAAAUCAAGUAUAGGAAAGAUACUAAAUUCUGAUUUUAUAUUUUAAAAAUAUUUUUUAAAAAAUUUAAAUUUAAAUUUAAAUUUAUUUUAUUUUAUUUUUUUACUUUAAAUUAAUACUUUUUUUAGUGUUUUUAAAUCAUUUUAAUAUACUAAUAUUAAAAAUAAUUUUUAAAAAUAAAAAAAUAUCAUUUAUAUAUAUCUCGCUUUCACUUGCUUCAAUAUAUAUAGCAACCUUCACUUAUUUUUUCCACGUACGAUAUGUUCAUUUCUUCUUUUUUUCCUUUUUCAAACCCCUUUAAAAUUCAAAUUACAUAUUAGCAGCAUGCAUUGAUCUUCUUAAUUAGUGUUUUACAAGGGAAAAUGAUAUGCGAUUUUGUUUAUUUUUGCGUUUUAAAAAUAAUUUUGAAAAAAUUUAAAUUUUUUUAUUUUUUUAUUUACUUCAAAUUAAUAUUUUUUUAAUAUUUUUAAAUUAUUUUGAUACAUUAUAUUAAAAAUAAUUUUUUAAAAAAUAAAUAAAUAUCAAUCUAAUAUAUUUAUAAAUAAAAAAUACUUUAAAAACAAUUCUAAUUAUAUUUCUAAACAAGCUCUAAAUCUCAUUGCAAGAAUUUGUGGACUUUUUAAUGGGCAGCUCAGUGGUAUUCCUGCAAAACAAAUGAAAAAUAAAUAAAUAAAUAUAAACGGUCUUCUUGUUUACUUUAGUAAGAAAUUGAACGGAAUAUGACAAAUAUAAUUUGGAAAUAAAAAGGCAUAUGGUUUUUGUUCUUUAACGAAGCUAGCCAUGAUAUUCAGACACCAGCUAUAUGCGUAAAAGUUGGAGUUCUGACAAGAUUUACCUCGAGUAUUUGUCAGAUUAAUUUAUCGCGCUAGAAGACAAGAAGACAGCCAAUUAGCGAGAUACACAAGAGAGAUGGGUUUUGCGGGAAGUGAGACUGAGACGUGCAUGGAUCUCUCUUUAGCAUUCUUGUAUUCUGUGAUGAUUAAAAUUUUUUUUUUUUAUUUAAAAUUAUUUAAAAAAAAAAAACAAUACAACAAUUCUAAUUAUAUAAUAUAAACAAUCUUGUUUCUUUUUACAUUUUAAAAAAAUUAAAAUUUUUUAUUUAUUUAUUUCAAAUUAAUAUUUUUCUAGUUUUUUAAAUCAUUUUAAUACAUUAAUUUUAAUAUAUUUUUAAAUAAAAAAUACCCACAGCUACACUAUCACUACACCAUCAGACAGCUAAUACCCUACCCUAGUAAUUGGACACUGGAAGAGAAGCAUUAACAUGCAUGCAUGUAAGCAGUAUAAGCAAACGACACUUGUCAAGUUGUGGCUGAAGAUGAGUUUCAAGUCUCCAUGCUGACCUGACAGGCGGGCCUGAGGAUGCGAUUAUUUGGGAACUGAUCCUCUAUGAUAGGAAAUGAUCGCCUUGUUUUGUUAGACAUUCAGGCCAAAAUUAAUGGUCCCGAUGUGGAUGCAUCCUUUUAAUUUGAUUUGAAAGAAGGAAAAAAAAUAAUACCCACCCGGCCACUUGUUGAUCUGUUGUGUCCCAUCGUCGACGAAUACAAGUACUCAAGGAUGCUUAGUUAGGCCGCCAGUUUUGGUAAUGGUUCUUUUUAAAUAUUUUUUAUUUAAAAAUAUAUUAAUUUUUUUUUAAUUUUUAAUAUUAUUACAUUAAAAUCAUUUAAAAAUAUAAAAAAAUAAUUUAAGAAAAAUAUAUAAUUUUUUUAAAAAAAAACCAAUCCAACCACAAAACCAACUGUUCACAUUAUCAUAUUUUCACUGUUAUAUAUUUUGUUUCCAAUAAAUAAUGUUUAUCAUAUUGUUCCUAAGUUCUCUUACCCUCUUUUAUGAAAAGAUAGGAUUAUGCAGGCUGGUUACAAACUACGAGAGAUGAAUUCGAGUAAGAAUGGUGUUUUUAAAAAUUUUGAUUAAUUUUAUUUAAAAUAGAUAUUUUAUAUAUUUUAUAUUAUUUUGAUGUGCUGAUAUUAAAAUUAAUUUUUAAAAAUUAAUUUUUUUAUUUUAAAAUAUUUCUAAAUAAAAAAUAUUUUUAAUCAUUACCAUUAUUACAAUCCCCGACAAUUCCGAAAAUAAAUCAAUAACUCCGGUUGGUUUGCCUGUAAGGAUAUUUUCAAGCCAGCUAGUGUAUUAAUUAAUUCCACGUCGGUUUUAGACCAGUCCCUGAAAAGCUAUCCUUUUUUUUAAUUGAUCAAGGUUGGAUCAUUGUCAAAGCAAAAGAUCAUACAAAUUAAAUGAAUUUCUAGCCAUGAGUACAGUGAAGUGAUAACGUUGAAAUUAAGAAUGAUUGUGACUGAGGUGGUUAUGUGUGGCUGUAACUGUGUUUAAUUUUCUAUUUUAACAAUUAAUAAUAAAGAACCACACAUUUAGUUUGAGGUAUGAACGAGCCGCCCUCAUGUGUUUUAUGAUGGAGUAUUGGGUUUCUCACUCUUACAUUGUUUUUUCUUUAUCUACAUUUAGAUAAAAAUAAUUUAAAAAUAAUCCUAGAAAUAUGACUUGCUUGCAAUUUACAAUGUUGAUGUAUAAUACUAGUAGAUGAAGUUUUCUAAUUUUUAUCACUUAUGUAUAUGUUAAUUAAAAACAAAAAGAUAAUUAUUUCUGAUCCAAAAUACUAAAAUGAUUGGUGGCUUAACAUUUUGUUUUUUUUUUUUUUAAUAUCGUGGAUGAUCAUUUUCAAGAACUAAAUCACAAGAGAGAGUCCAUCAAUUUAAGAUCUACCGUGAUCACACAUUUACAUGUGAGUUGAGAAAAACAAGUUGUAAGAGUCGAAUAAAAAAAUAGAUAUUUCUUCUUCUCCUAGUUGAUUCGUUACCACUUGACUUUUACUAGUUGAGCUCCUAACUCACUUGUUAGAGACUUUAUAUUGCUUAUUAUCAACAAUGCACCCCUAGUCAAGUAGAAUGACACCGUUUUGCAAAACAAAUAUUUAAAUUUUUUAUAUAAAAAAAUAAAAUAACAUAUUUUUAUUGUUUUAUUUUGAGCAUCUAUUUUUGAACGGUUCGUAGCCACCAGGAACACACAUGCCCUUUUUUUAAUUUAAUCUUUAAAAGAUUUAUUAAAUUCUAUUGAUAUUUUUAAAAGAUAAACUCUUUCAUAAUCUAAAUAAUGUAUAAUAACAUAUAUAUAAACCAUGAAAACAUUUUAUUCUUACUAUAAACUUGUUUCUACAAUAAAAUUAAAUCAAAUUGUGAGAAUAAAAAAAAAAGUAUUUUGAUUGGAUUUGGGACUAAAUAAAAAGCUUAGGAGAUUAUACAAUUCUCUCUCUCUCUCUCUCUUUUUUUUUUUUUGUGGGUUUAAGAAUAAAGAUGUCCUUAGACUAAGAUACAUAUCAAUGGAAACUAAUUUUUUUUCCUAAACAAUGUCAAUCCAGUGAAUUUACUAUAUUUGUUUUCAAGUACUAUCAUUAAGGUAUAUAUCCAAGAAAUCAAGCAAGAGAGUGAAUCUUAUGAGCCACCAUGCCAGCCUCUUAAAGUUAUAAAAUUCCUUAAUAUUCUCUAUUUUUAGGGGUGUUCAAAAUAACCGAGCAAUUAAAAAAUCUAAGAAAACUAAGAAAACCAAAAAGACAAAAACCAAGGAAAUUAAACAAAAAAAAGAAAAAACAUAUUGAAAAACAAAUAAAAAAAAAUUAAGUUUGAUUUGGUUUCGAUUUCAAAAAUCUGAAACCAAUUGAAUUAAACCAAUUUAGCCAACAAUGAUUGAACCAAUAAUAGAAAAAAGGUAUAAAAUGAAGAUUUUAUAAAAACCCUAAAUCAUUACCAGUAAACGCAAUAGCACCCUUACCCUCCCACCCUCUACUCUCUGAGGUUGUUUUGUUUUGACAUGAGACUUGAGUUAUAGGAAACAUCAAGUCUAAAAAGUUAACUCUCUCAUCAAGUACAAAUGAUUAAUGAUGAUGUUAUCUAACAAUAGCUUCACACUCUUCUACUCUCUCAAUAAGAAAUACAAUACGUAGAUUCAUUACAAGUACACCAAAAUAAAUAAAGAUAACCCUUAGGUUAAGUGCAAAUGUUUAAUGAUGAUGUUAUAGCUAUCCAACAAUAACUUUAUACUUUUCCACUCCCUUAAUAGAAAAUACAACAUUUAGCUCCAUUAUAUGUACACUAGAAUACAUAUAAACAACUACAGUACCUUAAAGGAACAUGAUGUAACUACAUGUAAGAAAGGAACGAGAACAAUCAUGCUUUAAAUGUCUAAAAGAUUUGUUACCACUAUAAAGAGCACUCCUUAAAAAGUCUUACUCAAAACACCAUUAACUUUCUUCUAAAUCUCACUCAUGUGCUCCUAAUUAUAAAAAAGACCUAAAUGCAAGACAAGAUCAAUAACUGCACGACCUUUGAACACCACUCCUACCAUGUGAGAAACUCUCAACUUUGUCAUCAAAUGUUACACACUCAUUUAUCCAAAUACUAUCUCCAUGAAGGCCAACAUGGACAACUAUGAUGGUCUUACAAAUACUAAAAAGAAAAUACAAAAUGCGAGAAGCAUUCUAAAUUUUAUAUGUAAAAGAAUGAUGCCAUAUGCAAAAUCUUUCCAAUAGCAUUUUGUGGAUUUACUUAGGUGUGGUAUCACAACUUUUAGUUUGGCUCUAUCCUUGGCCUAUAUAAUCUUUAUAUUAUGUUAAAGCAUAUCUUUUGUUUUAUUAUAAGCAUACUAGCUAAAAAGAACACUACUUAGUUCUUCACUAUCACAUAACAAGAAUAAGAUAGCACUAUAGCAUAUCCUUAAAGGUUUAAUAAGGAAAUGCUCAACAUAGAGAACUCUUCUUAACAUAAAUGGAGAGCCAUAUUUAAGUAGAAUAAGCAAACAUGACUAGACAUGAAAUUUUUGUUUCCAUAUAAUAGAAUCUCUUUAAUGCCAUAAAUAUCCAAUCAAGACAUCUAGAAAAAGCAUAAAUGGAUUCAUUCAUGAUCACCUAAUUUUCUCUAAGUUCAUGACCACAUAUCUUACUACUACAUAUGUUGAGGUAUAGGCUGCCAUUCAAGAAAGUGAUUUUUACAAUAUGUACCAUUUUAAAAAGUGGCAUGAACACAAAAAACCCUUAUGUUAUUUUUACCAUUAUAACAGUUAUGAUAUUGAGAAAUGACAUGCCUUGAAAAAAAAAAAAGAUAGAAAGAUUGAUCUUUAAAGGAUACCUCCUAUGAUUUAUUAAGAAAUACAUGUAACCCAAACUAGGAAAAUAUCUCUAUAAUGCUUUAUUCGAGAUCAAAUAAUUUAAAAAAUUAUAUCUCCACUAUCUUUUGAACUUUACAAAUAAAAGUAGUAGUGUUUCUUUAUUUCUCCAUUGAAUUCUUCAAGUAUCAAAUAAAAUAUCUAUGACGAGAUUUCCAUUAAGUUAUCCAAGCCUCCAAACAUGUUUUCUUGUCUCCAAUAAAAUUUUCAUGCAAGACCUUCAUGUCUCAAAACAAAUUCUUCAUAUCUCUACGAGAAUCUCCACGUCUCUAUGCAAUAUCUCUCUACACAAGGCCUUAACACUUAUUUCAUGAUCACAAAGCAUCAUCGACUUUCUAAAUAAUAAUGUUCUCUACUUUAAGAGAAAUAGACAAACUGAUCAAACUAUCAUAUAUCUUGUAAACAUGUUAACAAAAUCACAAAAAGAUAACAUAACAUGCAUAUUUUUCUCUCCUUCUACUUGUAUUAGUUAAGGCUUUGAAACAUGAUUGUUUAAAAGACUGGGAAAAUGAUGGAGCAUAAAAAAAAAAUGGUUUUUGGGCUAGCCCAAAUAGCUAACCAUUUAGGCUAGACGAAUAAAUUGUACUCUUUCUUUUAUCUCCUCCUCUCCCUCUCCCUCUCCCUCUCCAUAUCUCUAUCUAUACAUCUCUUUUUUUUUUUCAUAAAUACCUUCUCUUCCCCACACAUUUUCUCCUCUCUUACACACAUGCAUUCUCUAUCAUAUGCACAUUCCCUCUUCCACACACUUUCUCCUCUCUCUCUUUCUACCUCACACAAGGCAUAUACCUUAAUAUAUUUAUUCCCAAGAUAUUAGUGUUGCAUUAUGCACAUAAAAUUUUCAAUACAUGGCUAGCAUCAACCUUUCCACAAAUGGUAACACUCACAUACUCUAUAAGGUGUCUAUAUUAAUAUUCUCUAUAGGUGAGCAACAACCUCUACCACCCCGUUCUCUACAUGCUUGCAACUUUAUACAUUGAGGUACACUACUCUCGAUGCUUUAGAGUUAAGUUGACGUGAUCUAGGUCUAUAAGUACCUUGUUCACCAAGUAAGAAAUCACAUACCAUUCAAAGUAGAAUUCAAACAUUGAACAAGUUUUAGAUAGACAUACACAACACUCACAUAUACAAACUCCCUACAACUUUAAUAUAUUUUCUAUUCAUGUAUAUUACUUUCCUUCCUAUUAACUUAAGUAUCAAAGGAUCCCUGUUCAAACAAGGAACUUGUGUUUUGGAAAACACCAACCCUAACGAGAUUACCAUAGUUUAAGACACAACCCUUGAUAAACCCAAUACAACUUGAAAUGCUCGUGACUUCAUAUGAGGAAAUCAUAAAAAUAAAAACACAUUUUUUAUCAUUGAAAUUUGUGAUUGCAAAUUAUUUGGCCAUAAAUUUGACCAAAUUACAUUUAGCCGCAACAUUUGUUUAACAUUUUAUUGUUUUUAACUGAUUUGUGACCAUAUAGUAAGUAGCAAAUCAUUCAAUCACAAAAUUCAAUAAUGAAUGUUUUUUUCUCUUUUUUGAGUUUAUUUUUCAUUUGUGACAUUUUGUGACUAAAACAUUCGUUCAUAAAUUUAUCAAAAACUAUGUAAUUUAAAUUUUUUUUUAGAAGUCUCAAAGAUCCCGUUAGACAGAUCUAGAGUUGUUUUAGGGUUUUAUGCAAAAAUUACUUGAAGAUCAGAUGUUAUUUUUGGCUUUGAAUAUUUGCUUCAAAAGCCGAGUUGUCAUAAACGACAAGCCGUUUAAUUGUCUGGUCUCUAACGAUAAUCCAUACGAACCACUAGUUAGAAAUGUCUUUAAUCCUUUUAGAAGAGAGGAAUUGUUAUACCUUGGAGUGCUAGCUCUUUUAUUUUGUGUUUUAAGUAUUUCAGUACUGUACUUUACUCACUUUUUUUUUUUUUUACCAUCCACUAAAAAUAAAAGGCAUAAUUUUAUAUUUAUAAGAAAACCUAUAAAUCCUAUAAAUGACAAAAUAUCAAUUUUCCCAUUAAAUAAUAUCAUAUAUAUUAUUUUAGGCUAACUUUAAAAAUUUAUUCAAUCAAUUCCCACUUGAUUUUUUAUAAGUCUAGAAUUGUAAUUCUCUGUAUAAAUUACACUUUAGUCCUUAAUUUUUAAAACUUAUUUAAAAUCAAGUCACACUUGAUUAAGCAUCCCAUUUUAAUUUCUAACAAAUGAUUCUUAUGCGUGUGGUCCAUUAUGUUCCCUAAUAAGUUAGCUAAAAUAUAAAUCACAAUCCUAUACAAAAUAGGAUUAAAUAAAUUAAACAGAUUAAUUUAUUAUCAAUUAAACAAUUAAUUGAUUUAUAUUCGAAGAACAAGAAUAAUAUUUAGUAACUUGUCAUAAUCCCUCUAAUAUUAGAAAAGUCAUAAGUGGUUUGACUUAACCUUUCAGUGACUAGUUUCUUAGUAUAAUUAUUAUCCCUUCAUCACAAUGUUAUAAUCUAGAUAUUAUAGCAUAAAAUAUGCCUACUAUGUUAAAUCAUGUUUAUUCUUAGCAUUAUAGUUAUUGAUUAUUUGAAUAAAAUUUAAAACUCUUUAUAAAUCUCAUUCCACCUUGCAUAAUGAUUUAUAACAAUACUAUUCGAGAAUUGAUGAAACAUUUUCUCUAAUUCAUUUAGGGUGAUGAAUACUCUUUUGAUUACUUAAAUACCUUUAUAUAGUUCAUGUUAUACCUAAUAUAUGUCUGUUUGUUACCCUUGAUUGGGACAACAUGUAGCAUGAUCAAAACAUAAAACUUAAUAUAUAAGAUAACUUGGUGAUCUAAAGUCUAAAGAUCACUUACACAAUCAUCACGUGAAUCGUUUCAUAAACACAUGUGAUUUCUCUACAUGGAAUUCUUGUGGAGUUAAUUCAAUGAACAUGUUAUCAUACACAUCUACAUAUUAAUUCUUGAUAUCCAUCAUACCUUAGUUUAUAAGAACAACUACUUCCUUCCACAAAGAAAAGAACAUAAUAUAUAUUAGUCUCAACAACUCUAAUCAAUAUUUGGUCUUAAUAUAACAUUGACUAGUAACAUUUUAAGAACAAUUCUUUAAUGCAAUAGAAAUCUCAUAAUUAUAACAACUUUAUAAUUUUCUUUGUGAAACAUUUUUAUCCUAAGGACUUUAUCUUCACUCUAGAUUCAUUAAUCAAAUAUUUAAUCCAUUAAUCAAAUAUUUGAUGAAUAUUAAAGAUAAAUAAGCCUUUAUUAAUAAAUUAAAUAUAUUUACAUGAAUAAAAUCAAUGUCACGUGUAACUAACUAAUUGACUACAAGGCACAUAUACUAACAAACUAAGUGUCUUACUAUCCUAGCAUUCAAAGAAGUGUUAUAUGGCUAAACUUCUUAUUCAAAUAAUGUUAGAAAGCCCUUCUUAAACCAAAUAGGCAAUCCUUACUUUGAUUCCUAUACGAUGAUCUAGUGGAUACUGAUGAUGCAAUCAAAGUAUGAUUAAAAGUUAAACUUUAAGAGAAAUGGGCGCUCUUAUAUGAUUGUAGUGGUUGUUGUUAUGGCAAUAUAAUAAUGAAUUUGUCAAAGUUCUUAAUAAUGUUUUGAGUAGUAUUUGUGGCUUGCCUAUAAUGGUUAUAAUAUAGAUGACCUUUUUAGGUGUAAUAAAUAUUUUAUAAAGCAAAGAGCCAAAGUUGAAGAAAUUUUAAGUCGUGGUGUAUUGUGACCUCCAAACAUCCUAGUUAAAUUACUUGCUAAUGUUGCAACUUUUAGAACACACAUGACAAAUCUAUUUGAUCUUGCAAUGGAUUUCUUUCAGUCUAAGACACCCCCAAUAGAUGGUGAUACAAGAAAAGUCUAAAAAACAAUUAACAUCAAUGAAAUAACUUGUACUUAUAGUAAAUGACAAUUGCAUUAUCGACCAUGUUUAUGCCUCAUCAAAUGUUAUAUUUUAUGAAAUAUUGACUUAAUAAUUUCUUCUCCAACGUUUCAUACAAAAAUGCAUAUACUCAUUUUCAACCCUUACUUAACAUGCCAUUAUGGCCUGUAUAUAUUGGUCUAAAUUUAUAUGGAUUGUCCAACUAAAUGACGAACAAAUAAUGAUUAUAGAAAAUCCACUCAUCAGCAUAAGGAAAUAAAUGCUAAAGAGGGCACUCAGAUAAUAAAUAUGACAUAUAUGGUCAAAUAGGUCAUAAUAGAAAAACAUAUGAAACUUGACAAUAUAUGUUAAUAUUUGUAUUUGUUUCAAAUUAUUAGAAUUAUUGUUUUUAAUUCAACUAAUUUAAUGUUUAAUUAUAUUCUAAUGUUAACAACUUAUUGUGAUAAAAUCAUAGAGGAGCCAUAGUUCAAACUAAAAGAGGUUCAUCUACUUCUAGCAAUGCUGACAAACAUGACCACUUGGCUGCAAAGCCAGGUCUAUAUGACAUAUUAAUUCUAUAAAUGUAGGAAAACAUUGUUAUGAUGAUAUCUAUAGUGAAGAGGUCAGUUCAUUGGAUUUAAAACAUUUAAAACUACUUUAAUUGAUAUUUAAAUAUCAAAAUUUUAAGCUAUUAUAAUUCUUUAAAUAUUUUUACAUAAAUAGCUUGAUUUUUAGGGUAGUGAUCUCAUAACACCUUUAUAACAUGCAAUUAUAUAGUUGCAUGAGCAUGCCCACCCAUUUAUUAUUAAGGUAAGUUAGUUGCAUGGCAUAUAUCUUAACCACAUAUUGAUUAUAACGUUGGUGGAGCAAUGAAGGCACAAGAUAUACAUGGUCCAUCUACAUGUUAGUGAAAUGACACCCAUACUACAAGAUGUCAUUAUGUUGACUGGCUUCCUGAUAGAUAGAGCCAUAGUGAUAGGAUAUAGAGGGUUUGUUGAUAGAGAUGAUUUAUAUGAUUAGCUACUAGGAUGAGUGCAUAUGAUUAGUGCUUAUAGAGGCUACUACAUCAAAUUGAUGUGGUUGGAUAUAAAUUUUAAGACCCCUAGUAGAUGCGACAAAUGAAUAAUUAAUUAUGAAUGCUUAAGCAUACAUAAGAUAUAUGUUUAGAGGCUUUAUUUUUAUAAGUACCACAAACAAUGUAGUGCUAGCGUUCUUUUUUACAUUACUUGAGGACUUUUGGGCCAUUUCUAAUUACAACUACGGGGCCAUGUUUUCAUAUCUCUACCAUCAACUAUGUAAAACAUAUAUAAAGAAGAGAAGACAAAUUGAUGAGAGUCUAUUAUUUCUUUAUAUACAAUUAUUUUAACUAUUAUAACCUAAUAAAUACUUUGAUUGUUAGAAUUAAUUGCACUUUAAAUACUAAUUUAAAACCAUUAAUGUUAAUUAAUAUAAUUUUAAUCAUGAAAGCAUUUUCAUAUUAGACAUUUAAAGAGCUGGGGUAAUAAUAUGUUCAACAUUUACACUCAAAGGUCAUUAUCCAUUAGAUCUAGGUACUAACAAACUAAAAUAAUUUUGAAUAACACAUUAUUUAUAUAAAUUAAAUGCAAAGCAAUUACUAUCUUUGUGGCUUGUCAUGUUAGAUGGUAUAGGGCUAAACAUUUUACAAUAAAUCCCACUCAUGUUAAUGAGUUACACUAGGACAAGUUGGAUACCUAGCAACCUCAUCAAGUAUGACUUACAAACUUAUUGUAAUUUUUUUAUUUGGACGUGAACUUUUAGUUUUGACUUGUUAUCUAAUAUAAGUCUUUCAUAUUGUUUAAUACCACCAACUUUGUUGAUAUUCCGUAAGGUAUCUCAGGUCUGGUUAGCACAAGUUCCAUUACAUUGCUUCGAUAUAGUUCGGAUGCACUACCUUAGUUGGCUAAUGCAACAAUUUGGUUUAUCUUUGAACAUACUAAAUUAAGUUGAUACUAGUGACGAGCUGCGUAGUAUUAGCCAUAAAGGAAAACAUAAGGAUAAUUAGUUGGUGAUUCAUGCACGUUACCUAAAUCCUUAAGAUAGUAGGAGGGAUCAGAUACUUGAGGAUCAACAUCUGACAAUACACACACACACACACACAUGAAAUGAUUUUUCCCAUCAUGCGUUAGUUUAUUACACUUACCUGGUUGCGUUUCCCUAGGUGUCCACAUUAUAUGAUGUAUUAUAUACCCCAAUAUCCGAGAUAGAAAAUUGAUUGACACAACUUUUUUUAAAUACAAUAUUUUUUAUAAAUGUUAAUGUUAUUAUAGAUGAUAAAUGCUAAUUACUUUUUAAUGGGUGUAUAUAUAGAUUUAUUACUUAUGAUGUGAGGCUCAAAAAGUAGCAUUCACUAUCAGUGAAGGCAUCAAUGAGAUGAGAUCAUAGUUUUGAAACCUUGCCCGACCCCGUGGGUCGAUCCGAGAAUCGGUUGACCUAGGGUUGGAAUCAGGCCGGGUUUAAGAAAAAAUAGGGGAAACAACCCAGUGUGACUCGGUUGACCCGGCUAGUUGUAAUCCGUUGACAAUUUUUUUUGUUUUUUUUUUUAAUCAAAACGACGUCGUUUUGAUUUUAUAAAAAAAUAUGGUUGACCCGAGUGACCCGACUAAAACUUGUGACCCGAGCCUUGUGCCAAGUCGACUACCGGGCCGAGUUUCAAAACUCUAGAUGAGAUGUGUCAUGACCAACAUCACACUCAAUUUGUGUCAUGGUGAACUUCAAGAGAUUGAGAAGGUUAAGUGUCUCGAAGCGACAUUAAUAAAUGAUAAGAUCGUUUAUUGUGAAAGUGUUAGGGAUACUGGUUUAUAUUAGAACAUCCGAGGCUCGUUUAUGAGUUAUGUUGAUAUUGAUGCUAACUCUUACAAGGGUGCUAUAAACCUGUCGUUGAAUUGAACAAGUUAAGGUGGUUAUGCAAGUUUGUCUAUGAGUUGAAAUGAUUUUAGAAAUAGUUAGAUUGUAUGAUAUAUUGUUAUAAGAAUUAUGAAUAAAUAAUUAGAUAUAAUUAUUUUAAUUUUAAUAAAACGUUAUUACUUGAAUCAUUGUAUUUAAUUAUGAGUUGGAUUUUGAAUUGUAAUCCAAGUAAGUUGGAUAUAUUGAUAAAUUAUAAAACAAGUUUGAAUAUUUUUGGGUUACUACAUCUAGAUAUAUUUUUUUAGCUAGUCGCAUAUAACUGCAUAUUAGAUUUUUUUUGUAACGUGUAAUUGUUUUGUUAAAAAAUUUACAAGUAAGUUAAAAAAAAUAAAAAAAAUCCUGAUUGGAAUGAAUAUGUAUAUCGUUUUGGUUGUAAAACACAAUUAUAAACGUGAAACGACUAGCAGCUCAUUGUCUCCUUGUUUUCCCAAGGCCGACUCUCUGCCCUCACUCCCUGGCGUCUCAAUCUCUUUGUUCUUUCGCUAAAUUCCGGUCUGAGUUACAUCGAUCGGCCAGGCGGCCACCCCCAGCAGCCAUCCAGCCAGCAACUGCGCGCGAAUCUUUCUUUAGUAGCAAGGAAUCGAGGCAAUUUUAGUGAGGGCUUUGUAAGUACCCAUUAUGGUAUUUUUUUUCCUUUCACUUUCCUUCUCUCUCCACAUCCCUCCCACCAAAUAGAGGUGUGCAAAAAAACCAGAAAACCGAAUAAACCGAAAAAACCGAGAAAAAAUUAACCGAAAAAACCGAACCGAAAAAAAAAACUGAUUAAACCAAUUAGAAUAGUUAGGAAAAAUCCCGGUUCGGUUCGCUUUUCGAUUUUGUAAUGCAGGAACCGGUUAACCCGGAUCGAACCGAACCGGUUCAAAAAGAAGCAAUAUAAAUAGAAAAUUUAUUCCCUCCUCUCACUAUUUCUCUCCGACCCUAGCCCCCUCUCACUUUUUCUCUCCAUCCCCCUCCCAGCAGCCCCCUCUCCCCUCCCCCUCUCAAUUUCUGUUUGUAACUUUUAAUGCCGUUUGAUCAACUUUCAUGUGUGCCAAUUACAAAGUAGUAGAACAAUGACAAAUAUAUAUUUGUAUGACUGAAUGCUAUGACUUUUGUUAAGAUGAUGCAAGCUUUAGAAUGAACAAUCCAUUGGCAGCAAUAGAGUUGACGAAAAGGCUGCUACCUGUAAAAGAUAAUCUGCUCUGCUGCUUAAAUCGGUGAAAUUUAUCCAAAAACUAAUUUGUGAUCUUCAUUGAGUGACUUUUAGAGAGAAACCUAAUUCUUAUUUCUGUUUAUUUUUUAAACCCAUUUAUAGAUUUGUUGAAUGAAGUUUUGGGUAAUUCUUGCAUUUUGGCUGUGAUUUUGGGAUUCUUGAGAUCAGAUUUGAGUUGAAAAAAGGAAAGGGAGAUCAGGCUUGAGUUCUUGUUGUUGGUUGAUCUUGAUUUUGUCUUCUUUUUUUUCAGAAAUAAUUCAUAAGCAGUUUGGUAAAAGAUAUUCUUGGAGUUCAAUCAAUAUUCCAUCCUCGGCAACAUUUAGAAGUUGUAUUUGGAAAAUGGAGAACCAACACGAUGACAAUUGUUGUCUCUUUACUCCUUCCAUCAUCACCCUCACAGUCAGUGCUGUUUUGAUUGCAAUUACCCGCGUUCUCUACAUUCUAUGUCAAUCAGGAAAGCCCUUGCGUCCCUCAAAAUCCCCAAAACCACUCAGCACUUUAAUUGUUUUGGGAUCAGGUAACUCAAACAAAUUCUUUUAACUGUAAUAUUUUUCAGCUAUGUUAAUUAAUUAUUAUUGCUGUCAAUUAUAGGAGGACACACGGCGGAGAUGAUUAAUGUGUUGAAUGUGCUGCUGCAAAAAGAUAGGUUUUGUCCUAGGUUUUAUGUGGCCGCUGCUACUGAUAAUAUGAGUUUACAAAAAGCUCAUCUUUUGGAGGAAAAUGUUUUUAAUCUGGUAGGUUCAUCAAAUUAUUCUCUUUUUAACUUUUCUCAUUUUGGUUUUCUCGUAUAAAAUGUGGAACUUAGGCCGAAUUGAAUUCUUGGCUUUAUGAGUUAGGCUUAAUGUUGCUUUUAUCUUUUAUUUUAAUUGUGAGUGGUUUUAAUUGAAAAAGAAAAAAGAAUUGUGAAUGGUAUAUUUUGGAUUUAUACUAAUUUGAAGUGGUUUUUAACUUCUUAUUGCAGAAUGGGGGUAAGGGAGGCUCUACUCAAUUCCUGCAAAUUUACAGAAGUAGGGAAGUUGGUCAGUCAUACAUAACCUCUAUUGGAACAACUUUCCUAGCUUUGGUUCAUGCAUUAUGGCUAAUGAUUCGAAUCAGACCUCAAGUGGUAAAAUUUCUAUUCUUUUUCUAGUCGUUUCUGUUUCUAAAGAAAUUCCUAAAUUAAGUGACACUGACAUUCCUCAGGUUCUAUGCAAUGGCCCUGGUACUUGUGUUCCUCUUUGUGUAAUUUCAUUCUUGUUCAAGGUAUAUGUCUUCUCUCUCAGCCCUUAGUCUUUGUGUUGUGUUUCUCUAAUAUUGUGCUGGAGUUAAUUGUAAUACCAUAUCAUUUGACCUGCAGAUGGUGGGGGUUAGGUGGUCAUCUGUUUUUUAUGUUGAGAGCAUAGCGAGAGUGAGGAAGCUCUCUUUAAGUGGUUUGCUUCUUUACAAGUUGCGGAUAGCUGAUCAGUUUUUUGUACAAUGGCCACAACUACAGAGAAAAUAUCCACGAGCUCAUUAUGUUGGCUGUCUCAUGUAGUUCAUUGAUUUUACCAGUUACAUGAGUACAUAUUAAGCCUCCAUGUUUUUGCACUGUAAUCUACAUUUUGAAGUUUUCUUUUGAGUGGUAUUCAACCUGUAGUUCGUAGUCUCCAGCUUGAAUUACAUGUGAGAAGGAGAUCUAUUUGUUUUAUGGAUGUCCAUAACAGAGAGAGCAAGGGAGGGGAAGAGUGUUGCUUUUGUGAACCUCUUAUUACAUAGAUAUAUAAUAUAUAAUAUAUAUACAUAUACAAAUUCAUAUGCGAGAGUGAUGUAAGGUAUGAACAUGAUUUGCCAGCAUGUAAAGAGCAUCUCUUCGCCACUAUGCCAUGAGCUGGUCAUUUUACUGCCUAAACAUCUCUUCGUCACUUGUUUGGUACAAUUCUAACUCUCUUUUGAUGUACUUUUUUAACACAAUAAUUGUUUGGAAUAUACAUUUGCUAGCUGUUUCUCAUGCCUUAUUUAUGAAAUGGAGGAGAUAGUGACUAGGAGAACAAAAUUUGUUAUAGGAGUGUAUGUUUGAUAAUGGAGGACUUGGAAAAAAAUUUGAAGGGCAUCUGGAAUGUGCAUAGUAUUGUGUAGAUACAAGAGGAUACAUCGUUUCAUGGUUAGACCUGAUCCGGUUCAAGGUCCGGGUUUUGACCGGGUCGAUGGGUUGUCCGGGUUAAUUUUUUUUUUUAAAAUUUCAAAAUGAUGUCGUUUUAAUAAAAAAAAAGCAAGAAAAAAAAAUAAAAAUCAUUAAAACAAAAAGCAAGAAAAAAAUAAAAGUCAACAGGUUUGUGGCUUGGUCGUUUUUUUUUUUCUUUAGUGGAUACUGUUUAUUGUGGGAUUUUCCAGUUGGGAAAAAGCAAGGAAUGAGCAGGAACUGCCAUCUACAUACUCUUUGUGCCCUUGCGGGAGUACAUUCUUCCCAAUAGUAUAGCUGCUGACAAAAACUGUAUGCAUCACCAGCUGGAUACAACACAAGUGAUCUUAUGUUUUUAAGGGAAAUGUUUUGGACGGGAGAAGCUGUCCUAAGGCAGCUUUAGAUGGAAGAUGCAUGUCAAAUAUUGCCAUGUCAUAUAUCCAUGAGAUUUUAGAGUUUGCGGUUGGGCUGUUGGACGUCAGCCUACAUUUAAUUAUUAUAUAAUUAUAUAUUGUUAUUGCUAAAUAAACUACAACUCCUCGCUGAAUUUUUUUUUCCAUUCCUUACACUUGGUCUUUGUGGUUUGCACAAUUUUCAAAUUUAGUUAAAUAACUUUAUAUUUUUGUGCUUUUAUACUCUGAAAUAUGUUUUGAUUUGUUCUCUGGCUUACUUGAUUUGUCAUUGAAUGUUUUAACACUUUAUUUGUUAUUAACUGUUUUAACAUUAAAUAAAGAAUCAAUUUUAUAAAAUAUAGUUUGUUUUUUUGUCAAAAAUAAAUUGAGAGAUGAAUGAACAAAAUUGAAGAAACAACUCUUUUUCACAAAAGAUAUGGGAAAGUUCUAUUUGAUCUCUUAAAUUUAUUAUUAUUAGUUUUUAUAUUUUAUCACUUUUCUUUUAGGUUAUGGGUUAUGUGCUGAUUUUAAAUUUUGUUUUCAUAACGUUUUAAUUUGUGGAGGUUGAGAGUAAAGAAAAAGUUUUGAAAAAGUUAGAAAAAAAAUAAAGCUUUUGGGUGAUUGAGUUUUGAUCAUCAAUAACUUUAAUUUUAGUGUUUAUGAAAAAUAAAGAUUGUUUUUACCUUUAAUAAUACCAGAAAAAGUAGAUGAAGUCUGAAUUUUUUUUAAAAAAACAUUAUUUGAUUUUGAGUUUUUUGAUUGAUUAACUUUUUUUCGUUGGAAAUGAGGUUUUAGAGGUCCAUAGAAUUUUUUUUCUUUUUAAUGUUAUCGGUGAAAAAUGAUUGAAAUUUGGUUAUUUAGUGGCUAAAAUCUUGGACCCUGGUUUUUUAGUCAUCGAAGACAAGUCUAGUGAUCGAGAAAGGUUGUAGAGAAAUGACUUGUUAUUUCUCUAGACGGGCGUCUUCUGCUUUAUUUAAACAAAAAAAAAACUAGUUUAGGUUCCGAAGCCUAGACAUAUGGGCUUGGAUUUCAGGCCCAGACACGCAUGCAGUGCAAGCCUAAGCUCACAGGCCAUCCUUUGAGGCCUAAGUGCGCCUUGGUUUGAAUGUUUUUAUGAUGCUCAAAGAGUAAUUAAUGACAUUCUAUUAGUUAUUUUUUGGGUCUACCUUAAAGAAAAUGACAAACCCAAAGAGGUGAGAGAAAAUAAAACUCAUGAUCCAAUAUAAAAGGUAAAUUGCGUUGUAGAACUAGGAAGAUGUUUGUUACAUACAAAGUAAAUGUGAUAUCGCAAUAGGGAGAGUAAAUUCAUUCCAUCUUUGAAAGAUUUGAUUUGGGAUAAUGUAUCCAUUCUUGUUGCUAAUGCAAUGUCCAUCCCAUACUUGGAGAAAGGUGCGAUCACAUUAGGAAGAACAUGUCAAUCCAUUCCAAGAUAAACUGCGUCGUAAGAUUAGGGAGAUGUUCGUUACUUUUAAAGUAAAUGGGUUAUCGCACUAGGGAUAGUAAAAUAAUCUCAUCUUUGAAAACAUUGACGGGGAGAGCAUAUCCAUCCCUGCAAUUGAUGUAGUGUUUAUCUCAUCAUUGGAGAAAGGAGUGAUCGUAUUAUGAAGAACAUGUUAAUCCCUUCCAAGAUAAACUAUAUCGUUGCAUUAGGGAGACAAUCAUUACUUACAAAGUAAAUGUACUAUCACACUAAGAAGAGUAAAUUCAUCAUAUCUUUGGAAUUUUUUUCCUUAUAGUCGACGCUAAUGAUGAGGUCCUAUUUUAUCCAGUGGGCUUGAAGGUCGGGUCUGGCUCGCGAUAAAGUCAUUAAUUUUAUGAUUUUAGCUAUUUGACCCUCCCUUCUAUGGUGAAAGCAGAAGUAGAUUAUCAUUAUUACCUGUAAAAAGUCUCAUUUUAUCUAUUUAGGGACUCUAUAAUGAUUAAAUUAAAAUCAAUUCAAGAAAAAUCAAUUAUCCAUUUGACUAAGCAUUCUUCUAUCAAGAUAGAAUUGCUAUUGUUAAAGCAGAGAGAAAAAUUUAAACCUAACAUGAUCAUCUUUGUUUCCUCCUUUUAUAGCCCCUCAUGUUCUUUUUUUUUUUUUUAUAGUAAAAAGGUUGACCUGUCCCAUCAAGAUAAAAUAUAUAUGAUCUACAGAAAUAUAUAUGAUUUAUAGUCUCAUCUAGGAUUAGCGCUUGGCUGCAUCCAGUGAUAAUGAGUUUAGCGACUCACUAGUUUUAUAGGCGUUUAGACUCAGCGUUUGGUUGUGUCCAUCGACGAUGAGUCUGAUAAUUUACUAGAUUCACAGGUGUCUAGGCUCAAUGCUUGGUCGAAUCCAAGAAUUGAGAUCUUAACCUUUUCGUGGUUAGUCCAUUGAAGAGCAAUUUCAAAUAAAAAGCAAUAAAUGCCGAUCCAUCAUAAUAUAUCUAAUUUUCAAUUUGAUUUCAAAUAUGAAGAUUAACCAUGUAUUGAAACAAAGUUUUCUAACACGUAAUGAGCUUGCAAAGCUAAGAUUAAAAAACAGGUGGAUUGAUCAUGCAGUACCUUGAAUGUAAAUGGAAAAAACAUUGAGGUCAUUCGGGAUAUGCAUAAACAAGGAGAAGUUUAGAUAAGAUAAGGGCACACACAUUAAAGCACUGUUCAGCUAUAAAUGUUGGAACUUGGAAGGGUUGUCAAUCAAGCACAAAAUAAAACUCACCUCUUUGAACUUUGAAGAGCAAAAUCAAAUUCAAGGAUAACGAAGUUUCAGUUCAUCUUAUGAAUUUAUACACUCGAUCAUUCUCUCAAAUAUCCAUGGGCCGAAUUCCCAUGUCAGAAAAGCAUCUACUUUCAGAUUCGAAUACUUUUACUUUAGCACAUCUUAUGACCAAUCUAUGUCCAGAUUCGAAUGGUAAGCCUUAAUGAGAGAACUGGAAGCAUAUUAUUACGAACUGGUCUGGUAGUUGGUCCGGUUUAAGAUAUAGGUUUUGGGUUUUGAUCGGGUUAUUUUUUUUUUUAAAUCAAAACAAUAUUAUUUUAGUAAAAAAAAAUAAAAAAAUAAAAAAAUAAUAAAAGUUGACGGGUUUGCAACCGGGUAUUGACCGGGUCUUAUUGGGUCACAUCGAGUUUUUUAUUUUUUUAUUUUUUCUUCAACCCGGUCUAGUUUCAAUCCCAUAUUAAUCAGGUUUCGGGUUGACCCAUCAGGCCAGUCCGAAUUUCAAAACUAUGACGGAAAGGUUCAAAUUCUACAGUAUGACCAACUGGUCAGCAGGGAUGGCUAAGCAUUAAUGAUAAUUCAUACAGAGCACCACUUGCAGUUUUAAAUUGCUAUGAGAGGUCAUCCACAUCCACAUGCGAAUGCAAUCCUGAUAAGUGAUUAGUCUCCUGAGAUUCAGUGAAAGAUCUUUUAGUCCCUGCUACUCAAUUAACAUGUUACGUUGUUUCCAGCAGAUAGACCUAAACCAAUUCAUACUCAGCAAUCCUUCCAAUUAAUAUGCUCGUAUAAUUUGAUCAUUCAUGUUCUUUUACAGCACUCCUAGCUAAACUGUUUUACAGGUCUGCUACGUACACGGAAGAAAACUACAUUUUAGGACAUGACAGAGGCACCCGAAUUGUAUGUAACCAUGGAAAUCUGUCACCGGUCAACUUCCAGGCUCCCAUAAUCGUAGACAUCAGUUAGCUUUCCAGCAUGGGAGCUUUAGAAACCUCACCGGCAUUUCUUUUCUCAUCCUUGCAAU